RNAcentral lists this long non-coding RNA (610 nucleotides) under Oncorhynchus mykiss (rainbow trout). RNAcentral describes it as "lncRNA (ENSOMYG00000051307.1)". The record is from RNAcentral. Lineage: Eukaryota; Metazoa; Chordata; Actinopteri; Salmoniformes; Salmonidae.
AUGUACUGUUAUAGAUAUCACCACCCAGUCAGAUGGUAUAGAUAUCACCAUCAACCCAGUCAGAUGUACUGGUAUAGAUAUCACCAUCAACCCAGUCAGAUGUACUGGUAUAGAUAUCACCACCCAGUCAGAUGGUAUAGAUAUCACCACCCAGUCAGAUGUACUGGUAUAGAUAUCACCACCCAGUCAGAUGGUAUAGAUAUCACCAUCAAUCCAGUCAGAUGUACUGGUAUAGAUAUCACCACCCAGUCAGAUGGUAUAGAUAUCACCACCCAGUCAGAUGGUAUAGAUAUCACCACCCAGUCAGAUGGUAUAGAUAUCACCACCCAGUCAGAUGUACUGGUAUAGAUAUCACCACCCAGUCAGAUGCACUGGUAUAGAUAUCACCACUCAGUCAGAUGUACUGGUAUAGAUAUCACCACCCAGUCAGAUGGUAUAGAUAUCACCAUCAACCCAGUCAGAUGUACUGGUAUAGAUAUCACCACCCAGUCAGAUGGUAUAGAUAUCACCACCCAGUCAGAUGGUAUAGAUAUCACCAUCAACCCAGUCAGAUGUACUGGUAUAGAUAUCACCACCCAGUCAGAUGGUAUAGAUACCACCACCCAGUCAG